AGAAAAAAAGAAAUGGAAACAAAGAAACAGACCCUCGUCUUCGUUCUUUCCCCAAACGCGUAUCCGCUCUCAAUCUCUCUUCUCUCAAUCUCUCGACGCUCCUCACCGCUACCCACGGACUCUCUCACGUUUCUUUCAACCCCUCAACGAAUCUCUCUCGCAUUCGACCUCAAGCUCCUCUCACGUCCUCAACCACAUUCCCAAAUGCACAAUACCCACAGCUUUAAAGGAACCUGAAGUUUACCUCCGGUGGCGAUUUGGUAGUGACGAUGAAUGAUGAAGCCAAAACUUCGCUCUUUCGCCUCUCUGAUACAGCUUAGGGUUUCGAAUUGGUCCCUUCUUCCAAAAGAGUAACUCUGUAACCUCCUUUCUGAUGUGCUCAGUUUAGAUUAGCUUUUUUGAUGCU
Molecule: long non-coding RNA, 406 nt
Organism: Lathyrus oleraceus (garden pea)
Lineage: Eukaryota; Viridiplantae; Streptophyta; Magnoliopsida; Fabales; Fabaceae
Exons: 2
Source: RefSeq, a predicted model, not a curated record